GCCAGGCAUGGUGGCGCAUGCCUGUAAUCCCAGCUACCUGGGAGGCUGAAACAGGAGAAUCACUUGAACCCAGGAGGCAGAGAUUGCAGUGAGCCAAGAUCAUGCCACUGCAUUCCAGCCUGGGUGACAGAGCGAGACCCUGUCUCAA
Homo sapiens (human) is the source of this 148-nucleotide non-coding RNA. It matches the Rfam family "Metazoan signal recognition particle RNA". Rfam says of the family: The signal recognition particle (SRP) is a universally conserved ribonucleoprotein. Lineage: Eukaryota; Metazoa; Chordata; Mammalia; Primates; Hominidae. The record is from Rfam.